RNAcentral lists this ribosomal RNA (402 nucleotides) under uncultured bacterium. RNAcentral's name for it is "bacterial SSU rRNA". It matches the Rfam family "Bacterial small subunit ribosomal RNA", at positions 356 to 773 of the family's 1533-position model. The record is from RNAcentral.
GGGGAAUAUUGCACAAUGGAGGAAACUCUGAUGCAGCAACGCCGCGUGAAGGAUGAAGGUUUUCGGAUCGUAAACUUCUUUGAUGAGGGACGAAUAAAUGACGGUACCUCAAAAACAAGCCACGGCUAACUACGUGCCAGCAGCCGCGGUAAUACGUAGGUGGCAAGCGUUGUCCGGAUUUACUGGGUGUAAAGGGCGUGUAGGCGGGAAUGUAAGUCAGAUGUGAAACUCCGAGGCUCAACUUCGGAACUGCAUCUGAAACUAUGUUUCUUGAGUGAUGGAGAGGAAAGCGGAAUUCCUAGUGUAGCGGUGAAAUGCGUAGAUAUUAGGAGGAACACCAGUGGCGAAGGCGGCUUUCUGGACAUUAACUGACGCUGAGGCGCGAAAGCGUGGGGAGCAAAC